Molecule: ribosomal RNA, 460 nt
Filed under: uncultured bacterium
Lineage: Bacteria
Description: partial 16S ribosomal RNA
Rfam family: Bacterial small subunit ribosomal RNA
Source: RNAcentral
CCUACGGGCGGCAGCAGUGAGGAAUAUUGGUCAAUGGACGAGAGUCUGAACCAGCCAAGUAGCGUGAAGGAUGACUGCCCUCUGGGUUGUAAACUUCUUUUAUAAAGGAAUAAAACGAGGCACGUGUGCCUUUUUGCAUGUACUUUAUGAAUAAGGAUCGGCUAACUCCGUGCCAGCAGCCGCGGUAAUACGGAGGAUCCGAGCGUUAUCCGGAUUUAUUGGGUUUAAAGGGAGCGUAGAUGGGUUGUUAAGUCAGUUGUGAAAGUUUGCGGCUCAACCGUAAAAUUGCAAUUGAUACUGGCAGUCGUGAGUACAGUUGAGGUAGGCGGAAUUCGUGGUGUAGCGGUGAAAUGCUUAGAUAUCACGAAGAACCCCGAUUGCGAAGGCAGCUUACUAAACUGUGACUGACAUUGAUGCUCGAAAGUGUGGGUAUCAAACAGGAUUAGAUACCCUUGUAGUC